CUUUGGAAUUAGAGUUUGGUCAAAUCACACCAUGAUCUUCAUCUCAUGCCAACUAGCAUACAAAUUACAUCAAAGAUGCCAUUUGAUUUCAUUGUAACUGUGCAAACACAUGCAUUUCCUGAAAACAGAUGAGAAUGGCUUCUCUGGCAGGACACGUGUCAGCGUCAAUCUUCUCUGUUGGCUGCAGCUUGUGCGAGGGCCAAAUGGGCAGGAGGGUUGGAAACAUGGGCUGUGUUGACUAUAGUACUGAAUAGAGCACCUCAGAGAUGGAAAAGAUCUGUAUGCUGGGUGACACCACAUGAAUUUGGAUCUAAAGCAAGAAGCAGGUGAGGCUGGAUUUUUUUUUUUUCUUCCAUGAAUGAAAUUUUUGGAAUGACAGGUUUGGGAUGACAUAUUGUCCAUUCCAGUGGCCCCGGGGGGCAGGUCUGCAGCUCCUGUGGAAAGUCAAGAGUCUGCCCCUGAACCCGCUCCAUUGUCGGCUCAAGCUCCCGAGUCUGCUUCAUUCCAGAGUCUGUCAAAAUCUGCUACAGAUUCAAUCCAAGAGCCCUGAGAGCCAGUCCUGGCACCCAUUCCUGAUCCAGUCCAACUUCAGGAGGGGGUACCUUACCAUACUCCAACCUCCAAAUCUCCAGAACUAUCUACUUCCCCUACCACUUUCAAGCCAUCACUUGUCAAGCCGGUCAGUACUUCUACUUAUGCCACCACCCGUAUCCCUAUGGCCCCAUCUUCUCUGCGGCGAGGCUUUAAUCGUACUCAAACCAUGCCUGCUGCCUUCAGCUCUACCCUGUCAGGCUACAACCCUGGACUUACUCCCACCCUUCCCACCCCUCUCAUGUGCUGCCUGGUUGCUUUGGUCCUUUUUAUUUCUAUAGCUCCCCUUUUAUCUUGUUUCUAGGUCAUAGCAUUCUUGUCUGACUUUUUGCUCUUGUUUUUGAUUUUUUAUUAUUAUUACUAUUAUUAUUACUAUUUUUGUUCUCUUGUUGUCUUAAGUCUUGUCUAGUGUUUUGUGAGUUCUGUCUGUUCCUGUCUUGCCUCCUACUUUCUCCCUGGCCACUGGGUCUGCCUGCCUGGAGGUCUGAUGUGUGUGACUUCACCUCCAUAGCCAAGUGCCCUUGGUUCCUGGUGCUGUGGUCUGGUCUCUAGCACAGCCUCCUCUACAGUCCUGUGCUCGGUUGGCACCCAGGGCCCUCCUCGGCUUGUCUAAUUUGUCAAACGUCCCUUGUUCAAUCUGCAUUUGGGUCCUCUCCCUCAGUACCCCUGACAGUUACACAUUGUGUGAAACUCUACAGGCACAUUCAGGUCACAUUCCCAUGUUGGUUGUUCCUUGGAGUUGGAUUCGAUGUAGCAUUUUUUUUUUUC
Molecule: long non-coding RNA, 1359 nt
Organism: Cyprinus carpio (common carp)
Lineage: Eukaryota; Metazoa; Chordata; Actinopteri; Cypriniformes; Cyprinidae
Source: Ensembl